RNAcentral lists this ribosomal RNA (445 nucleotides) under uncultured organism. RNAcentral describes it as "bacterial SSU rRNA". It matches the Rfam family "Bacterial small subunit ribosomal RNA", at positions 346 to 784 of the family's 1533-position model. The record is from RNAcentral.
GUGCAGCAGGCGAGAAUUUUUCUCAAUGGGCGAAAGCCUGAAGGAGCGACGCCGCGUGGGGGAUGAAUGGCUUCGGCCCGUAAACCCCUGUCAUUUGUGAACAAAUUGUUUCACCUAACACAUGAAGCAUUGAUAGUAACGGAAGAGGAAGGGACGGCUAACUCUGUGCCAGCAGCCGCGGUAAUACAGAGGUCCCAAGCGUUGUUCGGAUUCACUGGGCGUAAAGGGUGCGUAGGCGGUUGGGUAAGUCUGACGUGAAAUCUCCGGGCCUAACCCGGAAACUGCGUUGGAUACUAUCCGGCUAGAGGAAUGGAGGGGAGACUGGAAUACUUGGUGUAGCAGUGAAAUGCGUAGAUAUCAAGUGGAACACCAGUGGCGAAGGCGAGUCUCUGGACAUUUCCUGACGCUGAGGCACGAAAGCCAGGGGAGCAAACGGGAUUAGAUA